GGGACUGCCGGGGGCCCUUACUAAUGCUAGUCUACCGACAUGAACUCGGGAGCUUGCUCCUUUGAAUCUAGCGGCCCAUGGGUGAUAAACACGUGGGUAACCUGCCCAUAUGACUGGCAUAACUCCGCGAAACCGGGGCUAAUACCGGAUAACCUUUUGAACCGCAUGGUUCGAUAUUGAAAGGCGGUUUCGCUUGUCACUUAUGGAUGGACCCGCGCCGCAUUAGCUAGUUGGUGAGGUACCGGCUCACCAAGGCAACGAUGCUUAGCCGACCUGCAAGGGUGAUCGGCCACACUGCGACUGAGACACGGCCCAGACUCCUACGGGAGGCAGCAUUAGGGAAUCUUCCGCAAUGGACGAAAGUCUGACGGACCAACGCCGCGUGAGUGAUGAAGGCUUUCGGGUCGUAAAACUCUGUUGUUAGGGAAGAACAAGUGCUAGUUGAAUAAGCUGGCUCCUUGACGGUACCUAACCAGAAAGCCACGGCUAACUACGUGCCAGCAGCCGCGGUAAUCCGUAGGUGGACAGCGUUAUCCGGAAUUAUUGGGCGUUAAGCGCGCGCAGGCGGUUUCUUAAGUCUGAUGUGAAAGCCCACGGCUCAUCCGUGUAGGGUCAUUGGAAACUGGGAGACUUGAGUGCAGAAGAGGACAGUGGAAUUCCAUGUGUAGCGGUGAAAUGCGUAGAGAUAUGGAGGAACACCAGUGGCGAAGGCGACUUUCUGGUCUGUAACUGACUCUGAAGGGGCGAAAGCGUGGGGAGUAAACCCGAUUAAAUACCCUGGCAGGCCCGCCGCAAACGAUGAGUGCUAACU
Molecule: ribosomal RNA, 811 nt
Filed under: uncultured Bacillus sp.
Lineage: Bacteria; Bacillati; Bacillota; Bacilli; Caryophanales; Bacillaceae
Description: bacterial SSU rRNA
Rfam family: Bacterial small subunit ribosomal RNA
Source: RNAcentral